Molecule: ribosomal RNA, 910 nt
Filed under: Hypoxylon sp.
Lineage: Eukaryota; Fungi; Ascomycota; Sordariomycetes; Xylariales; Hypoxylaceae
Description: partial large subunit ribosomal RNA
Rfam family: Eukaryotic large subunit ribosomal RNA
Source: RNAcentral
AAAGAAAAAACGGAGAAGAACACAGGGAUUGCCCUAGUAACGGCGAGUGAAGCGGCAACAGCUCAAAUUUGAAAUCUGGCCCUAGUGGUCCGAGUUGUAAUUUGUAGAGGAUGCUUUAGGUGCGGUACCUUCUGAGUUCCCUGGAACGGGACGCCAGAGAGGGUGAGAGCCCCGUACGGUGGGAUACCAAGCCUAUGUAUAGCUCCUUCGACGAGUCGAGUAGUUUGGGAAUGCUGCUCUAAAUGGGAGGUAUAUUUCUUCUAAAGCUAAAUACCGGCCAGAGACCGAUAGCGCACAAGUAGAGUGAUCGAAAGAUGAAAAGCACUUUGAAAAGAGGGUUAAAUAGCACGUGAAAUUGUUGAAAGGGAAGCGUUUGCGACCAGACCUUUUCCGGGCGGAUCAUCCAGCGUUCUCGCUGGUGCACUUCGCCCGGUUUAGGCCAGCAUCGGUUUUCUUAGGGGGAUAAAGACCUGGGGAACGUAGCUCUUUCGGGAGUGUUAUAGCCCCUGGUGUAAUACCCUUCAGGGGACCGAGGACCGCGCUUCGGCUAGGAUGCUGGCGUAAUGGUCGUCAACGACCCGUCUUGAAACACGGACCAAGGAGUCGAACAUUGGUGCGAGUGUUUGGGUGUUAAACCCUCACGCGUAAUGAAAGUGAACGGAGGUGAGAGCCUGUACGGGUGCAUCAUCGACCGAUCCUGAUGUCUUCGGAUGGAUUUGAGUAAGAGCAUCACUGUUCGGACCCGAAAGAUGGUGAACUAUGCGUGGAUAGGGUGAAGCCAGAGGAAACUCUGGUGGAGGCUCGCAGCGGUUCUGACGUGCAAAUCGAUCGUCAAAUCUGCGCAUGGGGGGCGAAAGACUUAUCGAACCAUCUAGUAGCUGGUUACCGCCGAAGUUUCCCUCAGGAUAGC